Molecule: small nuclear RNA, 160 nt
Filed under: Castor canadensis (American beaver)
Lineage: Eukaryota; Metazoa; Chordata; Mammalia; Rodentia; Castoridae
Description: U2 spliceosomal RNA (ENSCCNG00000009771.1)
Rfam family: U2 spliceosomal RNA
About the family: U2 is a small nuclear RNA (snRNA) component of the spliceosome (involved in pre-mRNA splicing).
Source: Rfam by way of RNAcentral
AUCACUUCUCAGCCUUCUGUUAAGAUCAAAUGUAGUAUCUGUUCUUAUCAGUUUAAUAUCUGAUAACGUCCUCUAGCUGAGGACAAUAUAUUAAAUGGAUUUUUGGAACAUCCUCACAUCGACCUGGUAUUGCAGUACUUCCAGGAAUGGUGCAAAAAAA